This 484-nucleotide ribosomal RNA is filed under the name uncultured bacterium. Its description in RNAcentral is "partial 16S ribosomal RNA". It matches the Rfam family "Bacterial small subunit ribosomal RNA", at positions 30 to 507 of the family's 1533-position model. The record is from RNAcentral.
AUUGAACGCUAGCGGGAUGCUUUACACAUGCAAGUCGAACGGCAGCGCGGACUUCGGUCUGGCGGCGAGUGGCGAACGGGUGAGUAAUGUAUCGGAACGUGCCCAGUAGCGGGGGAUAACUACGCGAAAGCGUAGCUAAUACCGCAUACGCCCUACGGGGGAAAGCAGGGGAUCGUAAGACCUUGCACUAUUGGAGCGGCCGAUAUCGGAUUAGCUAGUUGGUGAGGUAACGGCUCACCAAGGCGACGAUCCGUAGCUGGUUUGAGAGGACGACCAGCCACACUGGGACUGAGACACGGCCCAGACUCCUACGGGAGGCAGCAGUGGGGAAUUUUGGGCAAUGGGGGCAACCCUGAUCCAGCCAUCCCGCGUGUGCGAUGAAGGCCUUCGGGUUGUAAAGCACUUUUGGCAGGAAAGAAACGUCGCGGGCUAAUACCCCGUGGAACUGACGGUACCUGCAGAAUAAGCACCGGCUAACUACGUG